Molecule: ribosomal RNA, 20 nt
Filed under: Rhodotorula alborubescens
Lineage: Eukaryota; Fungi; Basidiomycota; Microbotryomycetes; Sporidiobolales; Sporidiobolaceae
Description: partial 26S rRNA
Source: RNAcentral
UUAGAUCUCAAAUCAGGUAG